Molecule: unclassified non-coding RNA, 1286 nt
Filed under: Hevea brasiliensis (rubber tree)
Lineage: Eukaryota; Viridiplantae; Streptophyta; Magnoliopsida; Malpighiales; Euphorbiaceae
Source: RNAcentral
CUCUCUCUCUCUCUCUCUCUUUUAGUAUCUAUUUUAUGUGCACAUACUUUUCACACGCCUUUGGACCUUUGUGUCACAAUACAACUGGCAUAUGAGUUAUUUGAUUUGCCUCCUUCACUUGCUUAUGUCAUUUACAUUUAUAUAUACCCAUCUUUUAUGGUGAAAUAUGAAAUGCAUUAUAUUCAGGUCAAAAACGAGUUUUGAAAUUGCUGAAAGAAUGAGAAUCUAUCUUGUAGCCCAGAGCGUGUUAAAUUUCUGGCACUUUAGAUUUUUAGUUCCUCUAGGUAUGCAUGUUGAAGUUGGUUAACUAAAAGUUUCUUGGCAUUCCAUGCAUGAAAUUGAUCCUAGUUUUUGAAGUUUUGACUACACAUGUUAUAAAAUCCUUCCAUUUUCUACUGCAAAGUAUUGUCACAUUAAAGAAAUAUCGCAUAAGAUUUCUCCUGCUGUUAGGUCUUGUAGAUCCAGUUUACCAUGCCAUUUGCUUCAGAUUUUCUAGCCAGGAAGUACUUUGUGGCACUUGUGCUUUUCUUUUAAGGGAUUUUGGCAAUACCCUAUCAUUUUCAAAUGAAUUUGAUGUAAAGGAUAUGCAUUAGUAUUAAGGGCUAUGCAGGUAUCUCAAAUCCAAACAAUAAAAUGGAUAUCAUGUUUAAUGUCUUUUAUUUUUCCUGGUUUAAAUACUUGCAGAUCCAUACAAAUCAAUUAAGCCUUCAAAAAAUUCUAAAUUAUCAUGAUUUAGAUGCCCAAUCUUAUAUUUUGAUACAUGAAAGGAAGAAGACCAGGGGGAUCACUAGUAAAUUUGCUCAGUUACAUAGAUUGUUUUAACAAAGACUCAAGUCAAUUGGCAACCUAGAAAGCAGGUUGUCCAGUGAAAAAGAAAAGGUAAGAAAAAUAUGGAGGCAAGAAAAAUAUGAAGGAUAAUUUUAAGAGCAGGGAUAUUGUGGGAAAAGGCAAUUCAUUUGAACCCCAUAAAUGGUCUAUCCCAGAAUGAGUUGAAUGAGUAUUAUUUAUUGCAUAAAUUGGGAUGAAUGAGUUAGGCAAUUAACUAUUUACCCAGAAUUUAGGAACGGUUGUUUCAUUUAUUUAUAAAAUUCUUGCUUGCUUCGUUUUGGUGUUAUGGAUUUGACAAUUCCUUCUAACAGAUCAAUACAAAUUAAGUAGGGAAACAGACUGUGAUAAGCACUUUUUGAGAAGCUAUUGCUAUUCUUGAGCCUUUGAUGUUUAGUGGAACUUCAGAUGAAGUUGUAAAUUGUUCCCAUGGGAAACAACUCUGGGAACUGUGUAAAGAA